GGACAACUUGCUACUCAAAUGAAUAACAUGCAAGCCCAAGGGUCGAACCAACUUCCAGCCCAAACAAUUAUCAAUCCAAAUGGUCCUAAUGCUAAUGUGAGUGCAAUUUCUUUGAGAUCCGGAAAAGUUACAGAAUCAGCCCCUGAAAAAAAUAAAAAAAUCAUUGAGGUAACUUUUGAACUUCCUACUUCUAAACUGUCUGCUGAACCUCCUUCUCCU
Molecule: long non-coding RNA, 219 nt
Filed under: Lathyrus oleraceus (garden pea)
Lineage: Eukaryota; Viridiplantae; Streptophyta; Magnoliopsida; Fabales; Fabaceae
Description: Pisum sativum (pea) long non-coding RNA (PSAT_LNC035398)
Source: RNAcentral